UGAGGAAUAUUGGUCAAUGGUCGCUAGACUGAACCAGCCAAGCAGCGUGCGGGAUGAAGGCCCUCCGGGUCGUAAACCGCUUUUAGACGGGGAUAAAAGGGCGUACGUGUACGCCGUAUUGCAUGUACCGUCAGAAAAACGGACCGGCUAAUUCCGUGCCAGCAGCCGCGGUAAUACGGAAGGUCCGGGCGUUAUCCGGAUUUAUUGGGUUUAAAGGGAGCGUAGGCGGACUUUCAAGUCAGUGGUAAAAUCGUGUGGCUCAACCAUACCUCGCCAUUGAAACUGGAAGUCUGGAGUGCACACAGGGGUGCCGGAAUUCAUGGUGUAGCGGUGAAAUGCUUAGAUAUCAUGAAGAACUCCGAUCGCGAAGGCAAGUGCCCGGGGUGCAACUGACGCUGAGGCUCGAAGGUGCGGGUAUCGAACAGGAUUAGAUACC
Molecule: ribosomal RNA, 436 nt
Filed under: uncultured bacterium
Lineage: Bacteria
Description: bacterial SSU rRNA
Rfam family: Bacterial small subunit ribosomal RNA
Source: RNAcentral